GGGUUGUGAGGUUAAGCGACUAAGCGUACACGGUGGAUGCCCUGGCAGUCAGAGGCGAUGAAGGACGUGCUAAUCUGCGAAAAGCGUCGGUAAGGUGAUAUGAACCGUUAUAACCGGCGAUGUCCGAAUGGGGAAACCCAGUGUGUUUCGACACACUAUCAUUAACUGAAUCCAUAGGUUAAUGAGGCGAACCGGGGGAACUGAAACAUCUAAGUACCCCGAGGAAAAGAAAUCAACCGAGAUUCCCCCAGUAGCGGCGAGCGAACGGGGAGGAGCCCAGAGCCUGAAUCAGUGUGUGUGUUAGUGGAAGCGUCUGGAAAGGCGCGCGAUACAGGGUGACAGCCCCGUACACAAAAAUGCACAUGCUGUGAGCUCGAUGAGUAGGGCGGGACACGUGGUAUCCUGUCUGAAUAUGGGGGGACCAUCCUCCAAGGCUAAAUACUCCUGACUGACCGAUAGUGAACCAGUACCGUGAGGGAAAGGCGAAAAGAACCCCGGCGAGGGGAGUGAAAAAGAACCUGAAACCGUGUACGUACAAGCAGUGGGAGCCUCUUUAUGGGGUGACUGCGUACCUUUUGUAUAAUGGGUCAGCGACUUAUAUUCUGUAGCAAGGUUAACCGAAUAGGGGAGCCGGAGGGAAACCGAGUCUUAACUGGGCGUUAAGUUGCAGGGUAUAGACCCGAAACCCGGUGAUCUAGCCAUGGGCAGGUUGAAGGUUGGGUAACACUAACUGGAGGACCGAACCGACUAAUGUUGAAAAAUUAGCGGAUGACUUGUGGCUGGGGGUGAAAGGCCAAUCAAACCGGGAGAUAGCUGGUUCUCCCCGAAAGCUAUUUAGGUAGCGCCUCGUGAAUUCAUCUCCGGGGGUAGAGCACUGUUUCGGCAAGGGGGUCAUCCCGACUUACCAACCCGAUGCAAACUGCGAAUACCGGAGAAUGUUAUCACGGGAGACACACGGCGGGUGCUAACGUCCGUCGUGAAGAGGGAAACAACCCAGACCGCCAGCUAAGGUCCCAAAGUCAUGGUUAAGUGGGAAACGAUGUGGGAAGGCCCAGACAGCCAGGAUGUUGGCUUAGAAGCAGCCAUCAUUUAAAGAAAGCGUAAUAGCUCACUGGUCGAGUCGGCCUGCGCGGAAGAUGUAACGGGGCUAAACCAUGCACCGAAGCUGCGGCAGCGACGCUGAUGCGUUGUUGGGUAGGGGAGCGUUCUGUAAGCCUGUGAAGGUGUGCUGUGAGGCAUGCUGGAGGUAUCAGAAGUGCGAAUGCUGACAUAAGUAACGAUAAAGCGGGUGAAAAGCCCGCUCGCCGGAAGACCAAGGGUUCCUGUCCAACGUUAAUCGGGGCAGGGUGAGUCGACCCCUAAGGCGAGGCCGAAAGGCGUAGUCGAUGGGAAACAGGUUAAUAUUCCUGUACUUGGUGUUACUGCGAAGGGGGGACGGAGAAGGCUAUGUUGGCCGGGCGACGGUUGUCCCGGUUUAAGCGUGUAGGCUGGUUUUCCAGGCAAAUCCGGAGAAUCAAGGCUGAGGCGUGAUGACGAGGCACUACGGUGCUGAAGCAACAAAUGCCCUGCUUCCAGGAAAAGCCUCUAAGCAUCAGGUAACAUCAAAUCGUACCCCAAACCGACACAGGUGGUCAGGUAGAGAAUACCAAGGCGCUUGAGAGAACUCGGGUGAAGGAACUAGGCAAAAUGGUGCCGUAACUUCGGGAGAAGGCACGCUGAUAUGUAGGUGAAGCGACUUGCUCGUGGAGCUGAAAUCAGUCGAAGAUACCAGCUGGCUGCAACUGUUUAUUAAAAACACAGCACUGUGCAAACACGAAAGUGGACGUAUACGGUGUGACGCCUGCCCGGUGCCGGAAGGUUAAUUGAUGGGGUCAGCGCAAGCGAAGCUCUUGAUCGAAGCCCCGGUAAACGGCGGCCGUAACUAUAACGGUCCUAAGGUAGCGAAAUUCCUUGUCGGGUAAGUUCCGACCUGCACGAAUGGCGUAAUGAUGGCCAGGCUGUCUCCACCCGAGACUCAGUGAAAUUGAACUCGCUGUGAAGAUGCAGUGUACCCGCGGCAAGACGGAAAGACCCCGUGAACCUUUACUAUAGCUUGACACUGAACACUGGUCCUUGAUGUGUAGGAUAGGUGGGAGGCUUUGAAGUGUGGACGCCAGUCUGCAUGGAGCCGUCCUUGAAAUACCACCCUUUAAUGGCUGGUGUUCUAACGUUGGCCCCUUAUCGGGGUUGCGGACAGUGUCUGGUGGGUAGUUUGACUGGGGCGGUCUCCUCCUAAAGAGUAACGGAGGAGCACGAAGGUUGGCUAAUCCUGGUCGGACAUCAGGAGGUUAGUGCAAUGGCAUAAGCCAGCUUGACUGCGAGCGUGACGGCGCGAGCAGGUGCGAAAGCAGGUCAUAGUGAUCCGGUGGUUCUGAAUGGAAGGGCCAUCGCUCAACGGAUAAAAGGUACUCCGGGGAUAACAGGCUGAUACCGCCCAAGAGUUCAUAUCGACGGCGGUGUUUGGCACCUCGAUGUCGGCUCAUCACAUCCUGGGGCUGAAGUAGGUCCCAAGGGUAUGGCUGUUCGCCAUUUAAAGUGGUACGCGAGCUGGGUUUAGAACGUCGUGAGACAGUUCGGUCCCUAUCUGCCGUGGGCGCUGGAGAACUGAGGGGGGCUGCUCCUAGUACGAGAGGACCGGAGUGGACGCAUCACUGGUGUUCGGGUUGUCAUGCCAAUGGCACUGCCCGGUAGCUAAAUGCGGAAGAGAUAAGUGCUGAAAGCAUCUAAGCACGAAACUUGCCCCGAGAUGAGUUCUCCCUGAGACUUAGAGUCUCCUGAAGGAACGUUGAAGACGACGACGUUGAUAGGCCGGGUGUGUAAGCGCAGCGAUGCGUUGAGCUAACCGGUACUAAUGAACCGUGAGGCUUAACCUUACAACGCCGAAGGUGUUU
Molecule: ribosomal RNA, 2930 nt
Filed under: Escherichia albertii
Lineage: Bacteria; Pseudomonadati; Pseudomonadota; Gammaproteobacteria; Enterobacterales; Enterobacteriaceae
Description: bacterial LSU rRNA
Rfam family: Bacterial large subunit ribosomal RNA
Source: RNAcentral